AUUUUAAGAAGCGGAGCAGAGGUAGGGGGUAUGGUUGCAUCCUGCCCAUCUGCAGUGAUGCAGCUCUCCCGAAUCCAAUGUGCAGAGAUAGCAUCUUCUAUAGCUGAACAUAUCACCAUUUCUACCUAGUGGUCACCGCCGCCGUGAGUUUACUCUCAGUGAUUUGGCAGGACAUAGCGUGAGCUCCCUCUCACUUCAGACAAAAUCUCCUAGGCUAACACAAGCGUUUUUGUUAAAAAUCUUUAAAUUAACGCAGCUAGUUUUGUGUGGAGCAAUUUGAGGGCACUCAGACAAGCCAUCCUGCAAAUUAGGCAACAGGGUGGUAACCUCUAGCAGAGGAUGGUAGCAAACAGCUGGACAAUGGUAACUUCCGGACUGUAAUAACAGCUACUUGCAGAGUGAGCAUCUGUUUGUACCUUCAGGGACUACCAAAAGGACAAGGGGUGGUAGCUGCUUUAAAGCAGCAUAAGUAUGGGUUAAAUUUCCAGAUAAUGUUAUUAAUGACUAGAAUUUCACGUCCUACCCAAAUUAGCAUGGCCUCUUUAUAAAGAGCUUGAUUUUGAAGAACUGUCGUCUCUCACAGACAGAAAUAUGUCUGCAGUACACUGCCACCUGAGAGAGCUGCAUGUGAGCUGUCACGUCAGGGAAUGUCACUCGUCUAUGUGAAUCUGGCCAGUGAUUCAGGAUUUUGGAGCACCUCCUAUUUGCAGUAUUGAGUUGGUCUAGAAAAUCCCGAGGAUGACCAAAGAACUUAAGGUGUCAGGAAAGUACGCAAGGAAACUGAAAGUGGAGAAGAGGGAGCUCAUCCAUUCACAUGCCAUUAGUAGUGCAAUGAGAUCCCACGAAUGGCUAAGCAUCGGAUGUAUGAACACGAAAUGUGCCAGUAACACAAAAAAUGUUAUUCACAGUUGGAAGUAGCAGUAGAGAUGUAGAAGACCUGCAUCCUGGAAAUCUAUGUGAACUGAGGAACAAACAUGGUAUGAGCAAAACAAAGACACAGGCAGCAGCUUGGGACGUGCAAUGUGGCUCCUGUUGUCAGGUCUGAAAAGAGAAGUCACCUUCUUCAUCUUUCCAGUGUUUGUUAUCCCUAUUGAAAAUUACUUAUUAUUAGCCCUGAGUAGAAAUUCUCUCCAUCUCCCACAAUAUCCAAGGAAAGUGAGUCAACAGCGGUAGCUGUGCAGUGAACAAAAAGCAGUGCCUCUCAGAUAGGGGUGACUCCAUCCAGAAAAGGAAGUGUGGCCAAAGCAAGGUAUAGACUUCAGAUGGUUGUAUUUCCUUGCUUGAAACAUGAAGUUUA
This 1297-nucleotide long non-coding RNA is filed under the name Struthio camelus australis. RNAcentral's name for it is "lncRNA (ENSSCUG00000010309.1)". Lineage: Eukaryota; Metazoa; Chordata; Aves; Struthioniformes; Struthionidae. The record is from RNAcentral.